This is a long non-coding RNA of Oncorhynchus tshawytscha (Chinook salmon), 781 nucleotides long. The record is from Ensembl. Lineage: Eukaryota; Metazoa; Chordata; Actinopteri; Salmoniformes; Salmonidae.
CUGGUGCUUCCUGCUAGGAACAGUCCACUGCUCUCCUGGACCUUGAUUACUGCAUUCUUCUGGACCAGAUGUAUUCAUAAGCCUGAGGAUCCUCGCACAAGUUCAAUUGAAAUAUGUGUUUAUUUGUCGGUUUGGAUGACUGGGGGAAAUGUGAGAGGGGAGACCAAGGGACAUGAUACAGUGUAUUCACCCUCCAAGCGGAUACCUGGCGCAACAGGUGUUGUUCCUUAUUGGAUACGAAGGUACAGAGGAAGUGGAGUCCAUGCUUUUGGAACUUUUCUCCCCUCUCCUCUGUAUCUUGAUGCUGCUGGGAUGUGUGUCAAAGUCCCAGGGCUUGGUGAAACCACACUCUUGUCCUCCAGUGGGACAGCAGCAGGGCCUCCCAAACUGCACAGUCCAAGCUGGGACAGCUUUCUACUUUCCACUCCCCCUGCCAGCCAUCCGGGGACCUUUACAGCACUAUCAGGUCUCUUUGGCCAAUGAUGAUGCAAUACCAAGGUGGUUGGCGUUCACCGAGAAGACUGGCAAGCUAUUUGGCUUGGCUCUGAGGGAAGAUUGUGGGCAGUACCCUCUUAAAGUAUCCGUCACAGGCCACUGUGUAUCCAUUACCUACUUUCAUCUUCAUGUCCUUAAUGGAACAGUGGGAGAGGGGAGCCUACUCUCUACACACAUAAAGGCCAGUCUCAUCUGCCCUGUGGGGGAGAAUGUCAUCUGGGCUGAUCUAAUGCUUCAGGUGGACCCUGGCAGUUUGGGCGCAGACCAACGUGUACAGCUGACCAGC